Molecule: long non-coding RNA, 836 nt
Organism: Pezoporus flaviventris
Lineage: Eukaryota; Metazoa; Chordata; Aves; Psittaciformes; Psittacidae
Exons: 3
Source: RefSeq, a predicted model, not a curated record
GUUUAACUUAGAAGAAGUGAUCACAAGUAGACACUCAUGAACACUCAUCACUUUCCAGCUAAUACCACACUGUUUGCAAAUGGAACAGGAGAAAAUCUCUGCAUCUUGAAGGCUCUGACAGUUUUCCAGACUGAAACUGCAAGUGGAACAGCCUUCUCUUUGAAAUCCUGAGGAUUUUUUUUGCCUUAGCAUCAUUGGAUCACUUCUUGGAUGCUAACCAGCAGCUUCACUGGCUCUGAAUGGGCUCCAGCUCUCCAAGAGGCUGUGGACAGAGUUUCUGGAUGUCUCCAUGGGCUGAUGGUAGACAGGUCUGUGGUUGUGUGCCUGCAGUAAAGUGGUGAAACCUAGCCUUCUGACCAGCCUGCUCUCUUUCUCAGGCCAGCUAAUCUCAUGCUUAUUAUAGGCUGUUUGAGAUGUUGCAGGAUAAGCCACUUCUUUUCACGUAUUUUCAUUUGUAAAUUCACUCUGUGCCUGGACAUCUCUUUUGUGUGUGUGUUUGGAAAUCAGUGGUUCAAUUUAAAACUAUUCAGUAUGAUGUCUUGUCAAGGUUCAUGCCCUCCAAAACAGCAGCCUUGUUUUAAUGCUCCAGUUCCUUUAGGUUUCUCUCCAAAUACCAUUAAUUCUCUAGAAAAUCGGCAGGCAUAUCUGUAAUUAUAUAGACUAUACAGAAGUAUAUGUAAAGGUAUCUGAGUGCAUUAGGCCAGAUAUUAGGAAUAAAUAGGAUGACCACCUGUUUAGCAUUCAGCUUCACCUAUCUAAACGAUAAUUUUCAUUUGUACUGUGGUUGUGACAUUUAAAUCAAUGCCCACAAAAUAAAAUUGCUUUGUUUAAUAAUC